GGGCCCGCACAAGCGGUGGAGCAUGUGGUUUAAUUCGAUGAUACGCGAGGAACCUUACCAGGGCUUAAAUGUAAGUUGCAUAAGUUAGAGAUAGCUUUUUCUUCGGACUACUUACAAGGUGCUGCAUGGUUGUCGUCAGCUCGUGCCGUGAGGUGUCAGGUUAAGUCCUAUAACGAGCGCAACCCCUGUUGUUAGUUGCCAUCGAGUAAUGUCGGGAACUCUAACAAGACUGCCGGUGCAAACCGUGAGGAAGGUGGGGAUGACGUCAAAUCAUCACGGCCCUUACGUCCUGGGCUACACACGUGCUACAAUGGCCGGUACAGAGAGCAGCCACUACGCGAGUAGGAGCGAAUCUCGAAAGUCUAUCUCAGUUCGGAUUGGAGUCUGCAACUCGACUCUAUGAAGCUGGAAUCGCUAGUAAUCG
Molecule: ribosomal RNA, 424 nt
Filed under: uncultured bacterium
Lineage: Bacteria
Description: bacterial SSU rRNA
Rfam family: Bacterial small subunit ribosomal RNA
Source: RNAcentral